UAAGGCUAUAAGAACUCAUUGA
Molecule: non-coding RNA, 22 nt
Filed under: Arabidopsis thaliana (thale cress)
Lineage: Eukaryota; Viridiplantae; Streptophyta; Magnoliopsida; Brassicales; Brassicaceae
Source: RNAcentral